This 393-nucleotide ribosomal RNA is filed under the name uncultured bacterium. RNAcentral describes it as "bacterial SSU rRNA". It matches the Rfam family "Bacterial small subunit ribosomal RNA", at positions 142 to 518 of the family's 1533-position model. The record is from RNAcentral.
AGUAACAUCCGGAAACGGGUGCUAAUACCGCAUAGUUUUCUUGAUCGCAUGAUUGAGAAGGGAAAGACGGCCUUUGUGCUGUCGCUUAUGGAUGGACCCGCGGCGUAUUAGUUAGUUGGUGAGGUAAUGGCUCACCAAGACGAUGAUACGUAGCCGACCUGAGAGGGUGAUCGGCCACAUUGGGACUGAGACACGGCCCAAACUCCUACGGGAGGCAGCAGUAGGGAAUCUUCCGCAAUGGACGAAAGUCUGACGGAGCAACGCCGCGUGAGUGAAGAAAGGUUUUCGGAUCGUAAAACUCUGUUGUCAGAGAAGAACAAGUUGGAGAGUAACUGCUCCAGCCUUGACGGUAUCUGACCAGAAAGCCACGGCUAACUACGUGCCAGCCGCCGC